UACGUAGGGUGCAAGCGUUGUCCGGAAUUAUUGGGCGUAAAGAGCUUGUAGGCGGUUUGUCGCGUCUGCUGUGAAAUUUCGGGGCUCAACCCCGAACUUGCAGUGGGUACGGGCAGACUAGAGUGUGGUAGGGGAGACUGGAAUUCCUGGUGUAGCGGUGAAAUGCGCAGAUAUCAGGAAGAACACCGAUGGCGAAGGCAGGUCUCUGGGCCACUACUGACGCUGAGAAGCGAAAGCAUGGGGAGCGAACAGG
This 253-nucleotide ribosomal RNA is filed under the name uncultured bacterium. RNAcentral describes it as "partial 16S ribosomal RNA". It matches the Rfam family "Bacterial small subunit ribosomal RNA", at positions 524 to 776 of the family's 1533-position model. The record is from RNAcentral.